AUGAAGCUAGAUAGUAAAGAGUGGAAUGAGGAGCUCAUUAGGAAAAUCUUCCAGCCAUUUGAUGCGGAUGAAAGUUGCAAAAUUCAUGUCUCUAGUUCACCUUCGAAGGACAUAAUUGCUUGGCACUACGAAAGGAAUGGAUUCUUCACUAUAAGAAGUGCGUAUAGACUGGCAGCAACAAUCCAUGGCCAAACUCUGCAGGCCCCGUCCAUCUCAUCGAGGGAGCCAAAAGAUAGGAGUAUUUGGGAAUUGAUCUGCAAAUCGAAGGUACCACCAAAAAUUAGGAUUUUUGGAUGGCGAGUUGCAACCAACACUUCGACCACGAAGAAGAAUAAGUGGAAGAGGUCAUUAGAGUUGGAUGCCACAUGCAUCAUCUGUGGUUGUGGCGAGGAAGAUGUGUUCCAUGCGGCGGUAGCCUAUACCAAAAGCAGAGCACUUAGACAUGAAAUGAGGAAAGUAUGGGAGUUACCACCAGAAAGUUCUUUGAGAUACAUAGGCCCUGACUGGCUGUAACUGCUACUAGGCACAGUUUCGGAUGGCAUGCGGGCAAAGGUGUUAAUGGUACUGUGGAGAGGAUGGUUUCUGCGUGAUGACUGUGUACAUCGUAAGGGAAAGGAAUCAAUUAGCCGAUCCACACAAUUUCCGCCGAGAUACAAGGAAGAGGUGCAGCUAUCCUUUUCACCCCAUGUAUCGGAGGCUGGGAAAGUUGUUUGGCCACUGGCCAAAACCGAACUGCAUCUGGCAGCUCAACCAACCAUGAUGUGGUCUGCCCCGAUACGAGGUACAGUGUAA
Molecule: ribosomal RNA, 792 nt
Filed under: Triticum aestivum (bread wheat)
Lineage: Eukaryota; Viridiplantae; Streptophyta; Magnoliopsida; Poales; Poaceae
Description: partial small subunit ribosomal RNA
Source: RNAcentral